CCUGGAUUCAUAAGCCUGUCAAGUUCCUUCCACUGAAAGAAGCCUUCCCUUUCCAUCGACAAUAAUGUCCGGGUGUUGUGGCGGCGGUGGUGGCGA
This is a long non-coding RNA of Gekko japonicus, 96 nucleotides long. RefSeq lists it as uncharacterized. Lineage: Eukaryota; Metazoa; Chordata; Lepidosauria; Squamata; Gekkonidae. The record is from RefSeq and is a predicted model, not a curated record. The transcript is spliced from 2 exons.